Molecule: ribosomal RNA, 352 nt
Filed under: uncultured bacterium
Lineage: Bacteria
Description: bacterial SSU rRNA
Rfam family: Bacterial small subunit ribosomal RNA
Source: RNAcentral
AUUUGGGGGCAACUCCAAGUUCAGUGGCAGACGGGUGCGUAACACGUGAGCAACUUGUCCGACGGCGGGGGAUAGCCGGCCUAACGGCCGGGUAAUACCGCGUACGCUCAUUUGGGGACAUCCCUGGGUGAGGAAAGCCGCAAGGCACCGACGGAGAGGCUCGCGACCUAUCAGCUAGUUGGCGGGGUAACGGCCCACCAAGGCUACGACGGGUAGCUGGUCUGAGAGGACGAUCAGCCACAUUGGGACUGAGACACGGCCCAGACUCCUACGGGAGGCAGCAGUGGGGAAUAUUGCGCAAUGGCCGCAAGGCUGACGCAGCGACGCCGCGUGUGGGAUGACGGCCUUCGGG